AUGGUCAACACGCAGCCACCGCGGAACUUGCGGGGCGGCGGCGGCGCGCAGCGACAGGACAAGUUGAGGGACCAGGAGAGGAUGAUAACAGAGGCGGACGUGGUGAAGCUGCCAUACCUGCAGGCCGCGGUGAAGGAGUCGAUGCGGCUGCAACCCGUGGCGCCUUUGUUGUUGCCACACCUGGUGGUGGAGGAGGGCAUGGAGAUAGGCGGAUACGCCGUGCCCAAGGGCGCAGCCAUAAUCUUCAACUCAUGGUCCAUCAUGCGCGACCCGGCGACAUGGGAGAAGCCUGAGGAGUUCAUGCCGGAGCGUUUCCUAGGGAAGACGGAGCUCGACAUGUGGGGGAAGGAGGUCAAGUUUAUCCCGCUGGGCACCGGCCGGAGGCUGUGCCCAGCAUUGACCAGGUGGACGUGA
Molecule: ribosomal RNA, 414 nt
Filed under: Triticum aestivum (bread wheat)
Lineage: Eukaryota; Viridiplantae; Streptophyta; Magnoliopsida; Poales; Poaceae
Description: partial small subunit ribosomal RNA
Source: RNAcentral